This 253-nucleotide ribosomal RNA is filed under the name uncultured bacterium. RNAcentral describes it as "partial 16S ribosomal RNA". It matches the Rfam family "Bacterial small subunit ribosomal RNA", at positions 524 to 776 of the family's 1533-position model. The record is from RNAcentral.
UACGUAGGGCGCAAGCGUUGUCCGGAAUUAUUGGGCGUAAAGGGCUCGUAGGCGGUUUGUCGCGUCGGGAGUGAAAUCCACUGGCUUAACUGGUGGCUUGCUUUCGAUACGGGCAGACUGGAGGUAUGCAGGGGAGAACGGAAUUCCUGGUGUAGCGGUGAAAUGCGUAGAUAUCUGGAGGAACACCGGUGGCGAAGGCGGCAUCCUGGACCGACACUGACGCUGAGGAGCGAGAGCCAGGGGAGCAAACGGG